CCUUGCCCUCAGUUGCUGUUUUGCAAAGCAGCCAUUGCUCUUGCCCAUCUAAGAAUGUGAGUGCAGAAGUCCAUGUUUCAUAGAAGUUUUUUAUUUUCAUAGCUUCUCUAUAUCCCACUAGCACUACUUGGGUUCUACAGGCUGCUGUAAUAUAUAUUGCAUCCUGCCUAUUGCCAUGGGAAUGAUUUGGAGGGCAGAGACAUCCCAUCCUCAAAAGGAGAAGCAUAUUCUGGCUGGUGGAAGAGGACACGUCCACAGAAGGACUCACACAAAGGAUUAGCUUCACCUGGUGCAAGUAUAAUGAAACCCAGUGAAUUCUCCUGACAUGUUUUCACUCCUGCAAGAAAUAUGAUGGGAAGUGGAAGAUACGAUCAUCUCCCUCCCUAGUGGCAUCAGGAUCCUGCUGUUUCUGUGCCUUUUGCCUGAUUCUUUUGGGGAUUUCUUUUGCUUCAGCACUGUGACUGAGCUUCCCAGCUUGACUUCUGCUGCUGCUGUGCUGAGCCCAGAGCUGCAGCCAGGGGAGCGCUGGGGCCGCUGGGCUGGGUCUGCACAGGCAGGUAAGGUUCAAUAAAUCUCAAUAACUAGCAUUUAGUCAAUUUUUUGUUGUUAAUAAACACUUUGGGUGUAUUUCA
Molecule: long non-coding RNA, 632 nt
Filed under: Cyanistes caeruleus (blue tit)
Lineage: Eukaryota; Metazoa; Chordata; Aves; Passeriformes; Paridae
Description: lncRNA (ENSCCEG00000021092.1)
Source: RNAcentral